This 355-nucleotide unclassified non-coding RNA is filed under the name Hevea brasiliensis (rubber tree). The record is from RNAcentral. Lineage: Eukaryota; Viridiplantae; Streptophyta; Magnoliopsida; Malpighiales; Euphorbiaceae.
CUUUUAAAACAGGUGGGUGUCCAGUUCUAUCCAUGCAAAAAUGAUCAGAAAAAGGGGAAAAAAGAUGAAAAACACCCUCCUGCAAAAUGAACCUCACAGCAAAACAAGCUUACAAGUAAUGAUCUAAAAUGGUGGAGCAUUCCAGGCCUUGUCUAUGGUAACUGUGUACAGCUAUAGGAGACUUAUUUCUAGCAUCUCUCAAACUUUCCAGCAGAAGCAUAGAACUUAAAUAAGAGAUUCUUGCAUAUUAUAAGAACUGAAAAUACUUGGGGAUUCUUCACAUGAAUAACUUGAAAGCUGAGUGUAGAUUCAUCACAAGAUCCUUCACUGACAUGCCAAAUUCCAUAUCCAUCUC